Helianthus annuus (common sunflower) is the source of this 1879-nucleotide long non-coding RNA. RefSeq lists it as uncharacterized. Lineage: Eukaryota; Viridiplantae; Streptophyta; Magnoliopsida; Asterales; Asteraceae. The transcript is spliced from 5 exons. The record is from RefSeq and is a predicted model, not a curated record.
GUUUUAAUUUUCCCUCUUAAUCACUCCUAAAAUCACAAUAGUGACCUAAUUUUUGGUGAUCAAAGGGGAGACCGAACUAGAGGAGUGGUUCAAUCGACGAUGAUGAUCGAAGGGAAGACCUAGUUUAUUAGGACGGACAGAAGGGUUAUAAUUAGUUCAAUGGCAGUUUCAACCCACCUUCAAUCCUAGGCUUGCGUUGAAUCAACAAUCAAGCCCCUGAAUUACAGGCCCCAACCACAUGGGGAGUACAUAAAACAAUGCUAAUCUAUAAUCUCAGGUAGUAAUUUUCAUUGAUAAUCAUCAACUUUACCCAGUUUUGGACGUUUCUUGAAACUACGAUGCGUGUAGGUGAUUCCUCUUAUACCUUUGAUAUAGAACCGGAUCACACAUUACGAAUCUUGUUUGGUAUUUGCGAUUUUGUGGCUGAACUGACCAAUAUAAGUUUAUUUUUUGGCAAGAUUUAGUCAUGCACUCUAUAUGUUUGAUGAAAUGUCUCAGUGGGAUCUUUUUUUAUACUGUUUCAUGAUAAUUUCCCAUUUACCAUAAAUUGCUGAUAAUGAAAAUGUAAGGGCUACUUUAUUUAGAACAAAGCUACAAAUAUUUUAUUAUGUUUUGAUAUUAGUAUGAUAAUUCCCUAUUCUAUGUUCAAUUUAACAAACUAGUGUUUGUUGUUUAUUUAAUGCUCUAACUAAGAAAUAUUUAAUCAUACAUGUUUACGUUUGACAUAUUAUAAUGUAUAUGUUUGAUAAUUGUUAUGAUAGAGACCAUUUAAGCGGGUUAGACUCCAAGAAAUAUUAGAGAGAGGAGAUAUGCUUUAAAUUUUGUUUUUUUAUAGUCAGAAGGGCAUUGGUUUAAAUAUUGAUUCGUAUUUAUGAUGAAAAUAUUAAGAUGAUAUAUAAUAAAUGCACACAUGUGAGUACAGUGGAAUUGAUAAAAUGGGCUCUAAUACCAGCUUGUUUUCAAAAGCAUCAAAUUUUAAAGAUCAACUGGUUCAUGGUGUCAGUUUUGCUUCUGCAGCUGUUAGGAUCAUUGAGAUAACUCCUGGAAUUUUGUGGAUCUCCUCCCUUUCAACCAACAGAUUGAGAACGCUAAACUCUUUGGAUCAUAUCACGAACAGUUUGGGUGCAACCGAUGUGGCUCAGGUACCUUCUCGAAGCCAUUUCUUUGUGAGAAUGGGUAGCAAUGACUACCUAAACAAGUACCUCAUGCCAUACUACCCCACCCGCAGCCAGUACUUGAGCAAUUUGUGCAGUUAAGCAGGACAUGUAAAGGCAACCUCCAACACAGAAGCUAGAAGCCAAGGAUCCUCCUAACUUCUCUAUUGUAUAAAGAUCGUUGAACAAAGUUAUGAAAUCAACCAAAUUUCUUCCAACAGAACAUAUGUACCAUAUACUUUGUUGUUACUUAGACCCGAACCUAAUUAGAAAUGAAAACUUUCUGUACAAGGGCAAUUUUUAUUUUAAAGGUUUUAAGACUCUGGGUGGCUUGUGACAAAUUGCAUAUUUAAAUCACAUUUUCUCGACAUAUGCUCUUAAGUCAAUCUCAGAUUGCAGAAUAUGUGUGGGCAAACUCAAUAUAGGAUAAAUGUUGUGUUUCAAGUUAGAAUUACAUAGUGCUUAUGGAAACAUCAAAGCGAGAUUUGAAGUUGAAAAAACAUGGUUGCUUGAAAUACGAAAAGAAAUUGAAUAGGGUUGUUAAAGAAAAAAGCCUGAGCUAGAAGCUAUGCGGAAAAAGGUUUGACAGUCAACGAGCAAAUAUUGAAGCUAUGAUGCGAAUUAUGGUGGACAGUCAACCUAUUGGAGUAGUUUUUGGAUGGUUUUUUUUUAUGUUUAAUCAUUGUAAUUGACAAAAACAUUUUGAUUGCAUUGUUACUUUGAGU